This 1293-nucleotide ribosomal RNA is filed under the name Podagrion sp. JY-2018. RNAcentral's name for it is "16S ribosomal RNA". Lineage: Eukaryota; Metazoa; Arthropoda; Insecta; Hymenoptera; Torymidae. The record is from RNAcentral.
UAAUAUAAUUAUUAUUUUAUAGAAUUUAUUUUAUUUUAUUAAAUUAAAGUUAUAUAAAAGUUAUUAUAAUUAGUAUUAAUAAGAAAAUUAAUUAUUUAUUGUAAGUAUUGAAAAAGAAAUAUUAAUUUAUUGUAAUAAAUUUUUUUAUUAUUAGUACCUUUUGUAUCAGGGUUUAUUAAAAAUAAUAAAUGUAAUUUUUAUUUCUCGAAAAAAAAUGAUCUAAUUAAUUAUUUAAGUUAAUGUUUCAUUAUUAUUUAAAAUAUUUAGUUAGUUAUUAUAUGUAUUUCAUAUUUUUAUAUCUAGUUAUUUUAUAAAUUAAUUUAAUUAAGAUAAAAUUGUUUAUAAUUUUAAAUUGUUAAAAUUAUGAUUAUUUUUAUUAAUAAUUUAUGGGAUAAUCUAUAAAUUAAUUUUAAUAUUAUUUAUUAAUCAUUUAAUUUAUUAGAAAUAGUAAUUUUUAUAUAAAAUUAGUUUGUUAUAAUUAAUUUAUUAAUUAUUUGAUUUAUGAAUUAUAUUUAAUUUAUUAUAAAAUUAUUUAAAAAAAUAUUUUAUUUAAAUUAAUAAUGAUAAAAUUAGUAAAAUGUAUAUAUAUAUAUAUAUAUAAUUAAUUAUAAUUUAAUUUAAAUUAAGGAAUUAGGCAAAUAAUUUUAUUCACCUGUUUAAUAAAAACAUGGUUUUUUGAUAAUAAUAAAAAAUCUAAUCUGCUCAAUGAUUUUAAAAUUAAAUAGCUGCAGUAUAUUGACUGUACAAAGGUAGCAUAAUCAAUUGUUUUUUUAAUGAAAACUCGUAUGAAGGAUUUGAUGAAAUAAAAACUGUCUCAAUUUGAAUUAUUGAAUUUUAUUUUAAGUUAAAAUUCUUAAUUAAAUUUAUUAGACGAGAAGACCCUAUAGAAUUUUAUAAAAUUAAGUUAAAUUUUAUUUAAAAAUAUUAUUUAAUUAUAUUAUUAUUUUGUUGGGGUGACAGAAAAAUUUAAAAAAUUUUUUUAGUUUAAAUUUAAUUAUAAUUAAAUUAUUUAAUUUUUAUUAAAAAAUUUAAAUAAAUUACCUUAGGGAUAACAGCGUAAUUAUAUUGGAGAGAACAUAUUGAUAAUAUAGUUUGCGACCUCGAUGUUGAAUUAAGAUUUAUAUUUAUUGGAGAUAAUAGAUAAUUUAGUCUGUUCGACUAUUAAAAUCUUACAUGAUUUGAGUUUAGAUCGGUGUAAGCCAGAUCGGAUUCUAUCUAUAAAUAGAUUUAAUAUCUUUGUACGAAAGGACUUGAUAUUAUUAAUAAUUAAUUUAUUUUUGAAUAUUACUUUGG